AGCAGCCGCGGUAAUUCCAGCUCCAAUAGCGUAUAUUAAAGUUGUUGCAGUUAAAAAGCUCGUAGUUGAAUUUCGGGAUCGAAUUGUCGGUCGUGCUUCGGUACGCACUGGCAUUAUCGGUUCCUACCUUCUGAAGAACCGCGAUGUCAUUAAUUUGGUGUCGUGGGGAAUCAGGACUGUUACUUUGAAAAAAUUAGAGUGUUUAAAGCAGGCUUACGCUUGAAUACAUUAGCAUGGAAUAAUGAAAUAGGACGUUUGAUUCUAUUUUGUUGGUUUCUAGGAUCGACGUAAUGAUUAAUAGGGAUAGUUGGGGGCAUUAGUAUUCAAUUGUCAGAGGUGAAAUUCUUGGAUUUAUUGAAGACUAACUACUGCGAAAGCAUUUGCCAAGGAUGUUUUCAUUAAUCAAGAACGAAAGUUAGGGGAUCGAAGACGAUCAGAUACCGUCGUAGUCUUAACCAUAAACUAUGCCGACUAGGGAUCGGAUGAUGUUAAUUUUAUAAUGACUC
Molecule: ribosomal RNA, 506 nt
Filed under: uncultured Glomeromycotina
Lineage: Eukaryota; Fungi; Glomeromycota
Description: SSU rRNA
Rfam family: Eukaryotic small subunit ribosomal RNA
Source: RNAcentral